RNAcentral lists this ribosomal RNA (232 nucleotides) under uncultured bacterium. Its description in RNAcentral is "partial 16S ribosomal RNA". It matches the Rfam family "Bacterial small subunit ribosomal RNA", at positions 335 to 564 of the family's 1533-position model. The record is from RNAcentral.
ACUCCUACGGGAGGCAGCAGUAAGGAAUAUUGGUCAAUGGGCGCAAGCCUGAACCAGCCAUGCCGCGUGCAGGAAGACGGCCCUCCGGGUUGUAAACUGCUUUUGUACGGGAAUAAACCUUACUUCGUGAAGUAAGCUGAAUGUACCGUAAGAAUAAGGAUCGGCUAACUCCGUGCCAGCAGCCGCGGUAAUACGGAGGAUCCAAGCGUUAUCCGGAUUUAUUGGGUUUAAA